UGGGUUAAAGCAAAAGUCUCAUACAUGCAGUCAAGUUCAAAGACAAGGAUAGAAAAGAGUAACAUAUGAGCAAAAUGAUGGUGAUUUCGAAAGGAAGAUGAUUGAGCUUAUAUGAUGUGACAGGCAGCAAGGAGCCACUCAAUGUGAUGUGGACGGAGUGAAUCCUCUUUUGAGAUUCACUAAGGUCUAUGUAGAGGAGAAGCAAAGACAUAAGAAAGUUAUCUAAAAGGUAGUCACAAAAUUCUCCUUAUGAUGUGAAAACUUUCUCAUUAUCAUGGUUAUAGAAGUGAAGGAGGAGGG
This 300-nucleotide long non-coding RNA is filed under the name Marmota monax (woodchuck). Lineage: Eukaryota; Metazoa; Chordata; Mammalia; Rodentia; Sciuridae. The record is from RNAcentral.